This 588-nucleotide ribosomal RNA is filed under the name Triticum aestivum (bread wheat). RNAcentral's name for it is "partial small subunit ribosomal RNA". The record is from RNAcentral. Lineage: Eukaryota; Viridiplantae; Streptophyta; Magnoliopsida; Poales; Poaceae.
AUGUGGCCGCAGAUGCUGAUCAUCUCCCGCGGGGGCACACGGAAGCUGCUGAACCUGGAGGAGGUGGCUGCGGCGGCAACGGAGCUCGGGUUCAACGUGACGGUGGCGGAGGCGGGGGCGGACGUGGCAGCGUUCGCGGCGCUGGUGAACGCGGCAGACGUGCUGCUGGCGGUGCACGGGGCCGGGCUGACGAACCAGAUCUUCCUGCCGACGCAGGCAGUGGUGCUGCAGAUCGUGCCGUGGGGGGACAUGGACUGGAUGGCCACCAACUUCUACGGGCAGCCGGCGCGGGACAUGCAGCUCCGGUACGUGGAGUACUAUGUUGACGAGGAGGAGACGAGCCUCAAUGACAAGUACCCGAGGGAGCACCUGGUGUUCAGCGACCCCAAGGCGCUGCACAAGCAGGGGUGGCAGGCGCUCGCCAAGACCAUCAUGAAGCAGGACGUGAAGGUGAACCUCACCAGCUCCCCUUCCUGCUUCAGGCCAUCGACAAGCUGCAGGAGUAGCGGCGGCGGCGCCAUCGUCUCCGUUGUCAUCCCCGGCUCAUACGAAAGUGACGAUCUUUCAAGCCAACAACCAGGGGCAUGA